AUGCAGUCGAGCGGAGAGAGGUAGCUUGCUACUGAUCUUAGCGGCGGACGGGUGAGUAAUGCUUAGGAAUCUGCCUAUUAGUGGGGGACAACAUUUCGAAAGGAAUGCUAAUACCGCAUACGUCCUACGGGAGAAAGCAGGGGAUCUUCGGACCUUGCGCUAAUAGAUGAGCCUAAGUCGGAUUAGCUAGUUGGUGGGGUAAAGGCCUACCAAGGCGACGAUCUGUAGCGGGUCUGAGAGGAUGAUCCGCCACACUGGGACUGAGACACGGCCCAGACUCCUACGGGAGGCAGCAGUGGGGAAUAUUGGACAAUGGGCGCAAGCCUGAUCCAGCCAUGCCGCGUGUGUGAAGAAGGCCUUAUGGUUGUAAAGCACUUUAAGCGAGGAGGAGGCUACUUUAGAUAAUACCUAGAGAUAGUGGACGUUACUCGCAGAAUAAGCACCGGCUAACUCUGUGCCAGCAGCCGCGGUAAUACAGAGGGUGCAAGCGUUAAUCGGAUUUACUGGGCGUAAAGCGCGCGUAGGCGGCUAAUUAAGUCAAAUGUGAAAUCCCCGAGCUUAACUUGGGAAUUGCAUUCGAUACUGGUUAGCUAGAGUGUGGGAGAGGAUGGUAGAAUUCCAGGUGUAGCGGUGAAAUGCGUAGAGAUCUGGAGGAAUACCGAUGGCGAAGGCAGCCAUCUGGCCUAACACUGACGCUGAGGUGCGAAAGCAUGGGGAGCAAACAGGAUUAGAUACCCUGGUAGUCCAUGCCGUAAACGAUGUCUACUAGCCGUUGGGGCCUUUGAGGCUUUAGUGGCGCAGCUAACGCGAUAAGUAGACCGCCUGGGGAGUACGGUCGCAAGACUAAAACUCAAAUGAAUUGACGGGGGCCCGCACAAGCGGUGGAGCAUGUGGUUUAAUUCGAUGCAACGCGAAGAACCUUACCUGGCCUUGACAUAGUAAGAACUUUCCAGAGAUGGAUUGGUGCCUUCGGGAACUUACAUACAGGUGCUGCAUGGCUGUCGUCAGCUCGUGUCGUGAGAUGUUGGGUUAAGUCCCGCAACGAGCGCAACCCUUUUCCUUAUUUGCCAGCGAGUAAUGUCGGGAACUUUAAGGAUACUGCCAGUGACAAAUUGGAGGAAGGCGGGGACGACGUCAAGUCAUCAUGGCCCUUACGGCCAGGGCUA
RNAcentral lists this ribosomal RNA (1166 nucleotides) under Acinetobacter baumannii. RNAcentral describes it as "bacterial SSU rRNA". It matches the Rfam family "Bacterial small subunit ribosomal RNA", at positions 55 to 1216 of the family's 1533-position model. The record is from RNAcentral. Lineage: Bacteria; Pseudomonadati; Pseudomonadota; Gammaproteobacteria; Moraxellales; Moraxellaceae.